ACUACGGGAGGCAGCAGUAGGGAAUAUUGCGCAAUGGGCGAAAGCCUGACGCAGCAACGCCGCGUGAUCGCAACGCCCUUCGGGGUGUAAAGAUCUGUCAGUGGGGACGAAACUUGACGGUACCCACAGAGUAACCACCGGCUAACUCCGUGCAAGCAGCCGCGGUAAUACGGGGUGUGCAAGCGUUGUCCGGAAUCAUUGGGCGUAAAUAGGUCGUAAGCGGCACGUCAAGGUCGGUGUGAAAGGCAGAGGGUCAACUUCUGUACGGCACUUGAUAAUUGCGAGCUAGAGUGCGAUAGAGGUAAAGGGAAUUCCUGGUGUAGCGGUGAAAGGCUUAGAGAUCAGGAGGAACAUCGGUGGCGAAGGCGCUUUCCUGGGCCGUGAUUGACGCUGAGGAACGAAAGCCAGGGUAGCAAAUGGGAUUAGAUACCCUUGUAGUC
RNAcentral lists this ribosomal RNA (440 nucleotides) under uncultured bacterium. Its description in RNAcentral is "partial 16S ribosomal RNA". It matches the Rfam family "Bacterial small subunit ribosomal RNA", at positions 338 to 795 of the family's 1533-position model. The record is from RNAcentral.